UCCCUGGUUGUCCAGUGGUUAAGACUUAGCACUUUCACUGCUGGGGGCCAGAUUCAAUCCCUGGUCAGGGAA
RNAcentral lists this transfer RNA (72 nucleotides) under Bos taurus (domestic cattle). It matches the Rfam family "tRNA". From Rfam's summary of the family: Transfer RNA (tRNA) molecules are approximately 80 nucleotides in length. Their secondary structure includes four short double-helical elements and three loops (D, anti-codon, and T loops). Further hydrogen bonds mediate the characteristic L-shaped molecular structure. tRNAs have two regions of fundamental functional importance: the anti-codon, which is responsible for specific mRNA codon recognition, and the 3' end, to which the tRNAs corresponding amino acid is attached (by aminoacyl-tRNA synthetases). tRNAs cope with the degeneracy of the genetic code in two manners: having more than one tRNA (with a specific anti-codon) for a particular amino acid; and 'wobble' base-pairing, i.e. permitting non-standard base-pairing at the 3rd anti-codon position. The record is from Rfam by way of RNAcentral. RNAcentral also lists the same sequence under 2 other names. Lineage: Eukaryota; Metazoa; Chordata; Mammalia; Artiodactyla; Bovidae.